This 793-nucleotide ribosomal RNA is filed under the name uncultured bacterium. Its description in RNAcentral is "bacterial SSU rRNA". It matches the Rfam family "Bacterial small subunit ribosomal RNA", at positions 8 to 796 of the family's 1533-position model. The record is from RNAcentral.
AGAGUUUGAUCAUGGCUCAGAUUGAACGCUGGCGGCAUGCCUUACACAUGCAAGUCGAACGGCAGCGCGGGAGCAAUCCUGGCGGCGAGUGGCGAACGGGUGAGUAAUACAUCGGAACGUGCCCAAUCGUGGGGGGAUAACGCAGCGAAAGCUGUGCUAAUACCGCAUACGAUCUACGGAUGAAAGCAGGGGACCGCAAGGCUUGCGCGACUGGAGCGGCCGAUGGCAGAUUAGGUAGUUGGUGGGGUAAAGGCUCACCAAGCCUUCGAUCUGUAGCUGGUCUGAGAGGACGACCAGCCACACUGGGACUGAGACACGGCCCAGACUCCUACGGGAGGCAGCAGUGGGGAAUUUUGGACAAUGGGCGCAAGCCUGAUCCAGCCAUGCCGCGUGCAGGAUGAAGGCCUUCGGGUUGUAAACUGCUUUUGUACGGAACGAAAAGGUUCUCUCUAAUAAAGAGGGCUCAUGACGGUACCGUAAGAAUAAGCACCGGCUAACUACGUGCCAGCAGCCGCGGUAAUACGUAGGGUGCAAGCGUUAAUCGGAAUUACUGGGCGUAAAGCGUGCGCAGGCGGUUAUGUAAGACAGUUGUGAAAUCCCCGGGCUCAACCUGGGAACUGCAUCUGUGACUGCAUAGCUAGAGUACGGUAGAGGGGGAUGGAAUUCCGCGUGUAGCAGUGAAAUGCGUAGAUAUGCGGAGGAACACCGAUGGCGAAGGCAAUCCCCUGGACCUGUACUGACGCUCAUGCACGAAAGCGUGGGGAGCAAACAGGAUUAGAUACCCUAGUAGUCC